Non-coding RNA from Taeniopygia guttata (zebra finch), 1956 nucleotides. The record is from RefSeq and is a predicted model, not a curated record. Lineage: Eukaryota; Metazoa; Chordata; Aves; Passeriformes; Estrildidae.
UUGCCAAAUUUUAGGCUUUCCUAAAACUUGUCAGUGAUGACGAGCAGUUACUGCCCCAGGGAUGUGGGUCCCUAGGAGCGUGGAAAUCCUAAACCACUGUCUUCUGUUGAUGCUUGGAAUGCAAGCAGAGGAAGGACUGUUUCUUGAGGGGAAGGUCUGAUGGCAUUCCAUGGCUUGGUGCCAGUGUGGCUUGUCCAUCACAUCCAUAAGGCUCCUCAUAUGUUGUUGCUAACCCAGUGCAGGACACUGAAAAGGAAAAAAGAAAAUGGGGAGAGAAAAGUGUGAAUAUUUUCAGUUCAGUCCCUACCUGACAUGUGUCAUGUCAUCAGCUGUGAGAAAGGAGAGGAAGAAGCAGCAUCCUUGGAAACUUGUCUCUCUGCAGGGCUCCCCCCACUGCUCAUCCACUCUUCAGCAGCCAAAAUCGACCAUUAGAGCACCUCUUCACAUGCAUUUUUUAAAUCAGGACUUUAAUUAGAAAAUACAGUCCUCCUCCCUUCCCCUAGUUAUCCAAAUAAAAGGCUAACAUCAUGAUUCAUUUUUUUUUACAUUAACUCAGCCAGAUUCUUACCGUGCCUGACACCUCUCUGUGACAUGAUUGAUGUACCAAGGCUUCCCCUGUUAUCUCCUACCUUCAUCUGAUAUGGCACUCAGAGCUUGGCAGUGUCAGAAGCUACAUCUGCCUCUUUAGUUGUGGCAGGAGCCCAAACCCUGUCUCUUGGAGGGGACUCACUCCUCCAUGAUCCCUUCCAGGUUGUCAAUUAAAUCUGUUAUUUUCAUUUCAGCAUGUUUGCUUGCUGUGAUCCGAAGGAGAUGCUCUGCUCUGCAUGGAAUCUCUACUUUCAGGAGGACAACAGGAGUUAUGUGGGCCCUGUUUUCCUGCCUGGGUCCUGUGGAGGAAGGAGCAUUCACGUUCACAUGCUCUUCGUUGUUUCAGGAUUAUUUAAGAAAUCAGUGCUGUUGAACUAGCAGGGGAUCUUCCCUUUGGUGACCUUUGCCAGAGCAGCUGAUUGGUGUGCCCCAGCUGCAUGCCAUCAUUUUCUUGGGAAAGUUUUAAGACUGUCAGAAAAAUGAGCAUCUUCUUUCCUAGCCCUUACUGACAUGUAUGGGCUUUGCUGGCUUUUCCAACUCCAGUGUGGGAGGGGUUGUUUGUUUUCCUUUUAAAUGUUAUCCUGCCAUCCUCCUUUUUUAACAAUGCUGUAUAUAUAUGAAGGCUUGCUAUGUAUUCAGCGUGGCACAUGGACGGAGUGGAUGCUUUGAACUGCUUUUGCAACAAUGGAUUCUGCUUGACUGAUAAUGAAACCAUGGGAUAGACCUCAGGGAGUGGUAAAGAGAUGAGGGAUCCUGAGGUCACUGUGCCAUGUGGGACAUCCACUGAAUGUGCCAAAGAUUGUGAACAUGAGUCUUCUCAUGAGUAAUGCUGGUUGAAGUUGAAGAGGCUGAAAAAUUCUCCUCUGCAUCAUGCAGUCCCUUGUUACAUGUCCUUGCCUUGGAGCUGAAGUCAAAGUUUCUGUUUGUAACAGAAUAAUUGUGUCAUUAAGGAAUUGAGGCACCAUUGCUUGGGUGAGAUGCAAAACCUUAUGCCUUGAAUUUCUUAGAAAUAGAAGUGUUCCUUGGUUUUUGGAGGAAUGUCUUGGUUCAGUGUUUUUUUCCAGCUGAUAUAAGUAUACACAGAACAAAUACAUGGCAAGCAGAACAGAGCUGGUUUUAGAAAGGGAUAACGUUGGACAUUCAUUGCAGCACAGGUUAUUCUGCAUUUUAAAAGGUUCAAAAUAUUCAGUGUUCAAUUGUUCACUCCACUUUCCAAGUGUUUGCUGAGGCUGAAGACCUCGUUAGUGUGUUAAAAGCUUGCCAGAGUGCUUGUUUUCCCUAAUAACUUCUGAACUGGCUUAUUUAAACCAGAUUUUAUGGAGGUUAUGAAAUUCCUAUAAAUUUUCCGAAAAAAUUUUUGGCUGAGCA